GGGCCCGCACAAGCGGUGGAGCAUGUGGUUUAAUUCGAUGAUACGCGAGGAACCUUACCAGGGCUUAAAUGUAGUGGGACAGGUCUAGAGAUAGACCCUUCUUCGGACUCAUUACAAGGUGCUGCAUGGUUGUCGUCAGCUCGUGCCGUGAGGUGUCAGGUUAAGUCCUAUAACGAGCGCAACCCCUAUCGUUAGUUGCCAGCGAGUAAUGUCGGGAACUCUAACGAAACUGCCAGUGCAAACUGUGAGGAAGGUGGGGAUGACGUCAAAUCAUCACGGCCCUUACGUCCUGGGCUACACACGUGCUACAAUGGCCGGUACAGAGAGCAGCCACUUCGCAAGAAGGAGCGAAUCUAUUAAACCCGGUCUCAGUUCGGAUCGGAGUCUGCAACUCGACUCUAUGAAGCUGGAGAGA
Molecule: ribosomal RNA, 415 nt
Filed under: uncultured bacterium
Lineage: Bacteria
Description: bacterial SSU rRNA
Rfam family: Bacterial small subunit ribosomal RNA
Source: RNAcentral